GACGAACGCUGGCGGCGUGCUUAACACAUGCCAGUCGAACGGAAAGGCCCUGCUUUUGUGGGGUGCUCGAGUGGCGAACGGGUGAGUAACACGUGAGUAACCUGCCCUUGACUUUGGGAUAACUUCAGGAAACUGGGGCUAAUACCGGAUAGGAGCUCCUGCUGCAUGGUGGGGGUUGGAAAGUUUCGGCGGUUGGGGAUGGACUCGCGGCUUAUCAGCUUGUUGGUGGGGUAGUGGCUUACCAAGGCUUUGACGGGUAGCCGGCCUGAGAGGGGGACCGGCCACAUUGGGAGUGAGAUACGGACCAGACUCCUACGGGAGGCAGCAGUGGGGAAUAUUGCACAAUGAGCGGGAGCCUGAUGCAGCAACGCCGCGUGCGGGAUGACGGCCUUCGGGUUGUAAACCGCUUUCGCCUGUGACGAAGCGUGAGUGACGGUAAUAGGUAAAGAAGCACCGGCUAACUACGUG
Molecule: ribosomal RNA, 468 nt
Filed under: uncultured bacterium
Lineage: Bacteria
Description: partial 16S ribosomal RNA
Rfam family: Bacterial small subunit ribosomal RNA
Source: RNAcentral